GUUUUGAUGGUGAAAUGGUAGACAUGCAUGACUCAAACUCUCGUGCUAAAGAGCGAGGAGGUUCAAGUCCUCUUCGAGGCG
Molecule: transfer RNA, 81 nt
Filed under: Asparagus officinalis (garden asparagus)
Lineage: Eukaryota; Viridiplantae; Streptophyta; Magnoliopsida; Asparagales; Asparagaceae
Description: tRNA A4U43_Leu62
Rfam family: tRNA
About the family: Transfer RNA (tRNA) molecules are approximately 80 nucleotides in length. Their secondary structure includes four short double-helical elements and three loops (D, anti-codon, and T loops).
Source: RNAcentral